Molecule: ribosomal RNA, 263 nt
Filed under: uncultured bacterium
Lineage: Bacteria
Description: partial 16S ribosomal RNA
Rfam family: Bacterial small subunit ribosomal RNA
Source: RNAcentral
GUCCACGCCGUAAACGAUGGGCACUAGAUGUGGGCGGUGUAGACUCCGUCCGUGUCGCAGCUAACGCAUUAAGUGCCCCGCCUGGGGAGUACGGCCGCAAGGCUAAAACUCAAAGGAAUUGACGGGGGCCCGCACAAGCAGCGGAGCAUGUGGUUUAAUUCGACGCAACGCGAAGAACCUUACCUGGGCUUGACAUGUCCGUGAAACCCUUGGAAACAAGGUCCCUCUUCGGAGCGCGGUCACAGGUGGUGCAUGGCUGUCGU